UUUAUGGAGAGUUUGAUCCUGGCUCAGGAUGAACGCUGGCGGCGUGCCUAAUACAUGCAAGUCGAGCGAACAGACGAGGAGCUUGCUCCUCUGAUGUUAGCGGCGGACGGGUGAGUAACACGUGGAUAACCUACCUAUAAGACUGGGAUAACUUCGGGAAACCGGAGCUAAUACCGGAUAACAUGUUGAACCGCAUGGUUCAACAGUGAAAGACGGUUUUGCUGUCACUUAUAGAUGGAUCCGCGCCGCAUUAGCUAGUUGGUAAGGUAACGGCUUACCAAGGCAACGAUGCGUAGCCGACCUGAGAGGGCGAUCGGCCACACUGGAACUGAGACACGGUCCAGACUCCUACGGGAGGCAGCAGUAGGGAAUCUUCCGCAAUGGGCGAAAGCCUGACGGAGCAACGCCGCGUGAGUGAAGAAGGUCUUCGGAUCGUAAA
Molecule: ribosomal RNA, 439 nt
Filed under: Staphylococcus sp. SKL70935
Lineage: Bacteria; Bacillati; Bacillota; Bacilli; Caryophanales; Staphylococcaceae
Description: bacterial SSU rRNA
Rfam family: Bacterial small subunit ribosomal RNA
Source: RNAcentral